GACGAACGCUGGCGGCGUGCCUAAUACAUGCAAGUAGAACGCUGAAGAGAGGAGCUUGCUCUUCUUGGAUGAGUUGCGAACGGGUGAGUAACGCGUAGGUAACCUGCCUGGUAGCGGGGGAUAACUAUUGGAAACGAUAGCUAAUACCGCAUAAAAUGGAUUAUCGCAUGAUAAUCCAUUGAAAGGUGCAAAUGCAUCACUACCAGAUGGACCUGCGUUGUAUUAGCUAGUUGGUGGGGUAACGGCUCACCAAGGCGACGAUACAUAGCCGACCUGAGAGGGUGAUCGGCCACACUGGGACUGAGACACGGCCCAGACUCCUACGGGAGGCAGCAGUAGGGAAUCUUCGGCAAUGGACGGAAGUCUGACCGAGCAACGCCGCGUGAGUGAAGAAGGUUUUCGGAUCGUAAAGCUCUGUUGUAAGAGAAGAACGAGUGUGAGAGUGGAAAGUUCA
This 454-nucleotide ribosomal RNA is filed under the name Streptococcus sp. oral taxon 071. RNAcentral describes it as "bacterial SSU rRNA". It matches the Rfam family "Bacterial small subunit ribosomal RNA", at positions 28 to 466 of the family's 1533-position model. Lineage: Bacteria; Bacillati; Bacillota; Bacilli; Lactobacillales; Streptococcaceae. The record is from RNAcentral.